This 164-nucleotide ribosomal RNA is filed under the name Pinanga pulchella. RNAcentral describes it as "5.8S rRNA". It matches the Rfam family "5.8S ribosomal RNA". From Rfam's summary of the family: 5.8S ribosomal RNA (5.8S rRNA) is a component of the large subunit of the eukaryotic ribosome. It is transcribed by RNA polymerase I as part of the 45S precursor that also contains 18S and 28S rRNA. RNAcentral also lists the same sequence under 1 other name. Lineage: Eukaryota; Viridiplantae; Streptophyta; Magnoliopsida; Arecales; Arecaceae. The record is from RNAcentral.
AUGAUGACUCUCAGUAAUGGAUAUCUCGGCUCUCGCAUCGAUGAAGAAUGUAGCGAAAUGCGAUACCUGGUGUGAAUUGUAGAAUCCCAUGAACCAUCGAGUCUUUGAAUGCAAGUUGCACUCGAGGCCAUUCGGCCGAGGGCACGCCUGCCUGGGCAUCAUGC